This 591-nucleotide ribosomal RNA is filed under the name uncultured Helotiales. Its description in RNAcentral is "eukaryotic LSU rRNA". The stretch from base 231 to 384 matches the Rfam family "5.8S ribosomal RNA". Lineage: Eukaryota; Fungi; Ascomycota; Leotiomycetes; Helotiales. The record is from RNAcentral.
CUUGGUCAUUUAGAGGAAGUAAAAGUCGUAACAAGGUUUCCGUAGGUGAACCUGCGGAAGGAUCAUUAAUGAGAUCAUGCCCUUCGGGGUAGACCUCCCACCCUCUGUAUACAAUACCUUUGUUGCUUUGGCGGCCCCGUCGCAAGACAACCGGCUCCGGCUGGUCAGCGGCCGCCAGAGGAAUCAAAACUCUUAUUAUUAUUGUCGUCUGAGUACUAUAUAAUAGUUAAAACUUUCAACAACGGAUCUCUUGGUUCUGGCAUCGAUGAAGAACGCAGCGAAAUGCGAUAAGUAAUGUGAAUUGCAGAAUUCAGUGAAUCAUCGAAUCUUUGAACGCACAUUGCGCCCCCUGGUAUUCCGGGGGGCAUGCCUGUUCGAGCGUCAUUACAACCCUCAAGCUCUGCUUGGUAUUGGGUGUCACCCCCGGGUGCGCCUUAAAAUCAGUGGCGGUGCCGUCUGGCUUCAAGCGUAGUAAUACUUCUCGCUUUGGAGUCCGGGCGAGCGUCCUGCCAAAACCCCCAUAUAUUUUCAGGUUGACCUCGGAUCAGGUAGGGAUACCCGCUGAACUUAAGCAUAUCAAUAAGCGGAGGA